GUUCCGCCUCAACUAAGUGGAAGGUGAUUUUUCAUAAAUUGCCAUUUAAUUGAUGUUGAAACAUACUUGUGAUUCUUCGUGUGCAUGGUUAUAUGUCUCUUCAUUCAUAGUCAUAUUUCAAUUAGCCAAUUAUGGAGAUUUUUAAGUCCUUUAUCGUCUUUUUUAUGAACUCAAUUUCGUAACAAAUAUAAAACGCAAGUUGUUGCAUUACAUUCCAUUGUAAAUGUAUGGUAAUCGGGAAAAAAAGGUUUAGUAUAAUGACAUCACUUUUUGUGGAAAUUUUUGGAUAAUCUUGAUGUAGAUAAUGUCUAGAAGAAAUCAAAUAGGAUAAGCAACCCUGUUACCAUCCAAUACAGUCUAAACUUAGACCUGAUAUGAUGGUCAAAUCUAAUCAUAUAACCUGACCCUAACAAAUUUGGGAUUAAGGCAUAGUUUAGUUGAGUUGAGCAGUUAAAAUGUUUAAUUGCAUAACAGGAAACCAAAGACAAAUAAUAUAAGCUAUCCUAACAUGUUACUAUUCAAUCUGUUUGGCGGGUGACUGUGUCUAUAAGGUACUGAUAAAGCUUUUAACCUAUACACUGAUGUUGUUUUGGUUGACAUGGUUUCUUCUAACUAGAGUUGUUUGCAGAGAUCAAAGGAAAUAUAGAAAAAGUGUUUUUCCCCCCAACUUAGGUGUUGAGAAAGCUCAUGAUCAUGUUAGCUAGGGUUUUCUUUGAUGUGGUUAUGGUUAUGGAUGAUAAGGGAUAUGGUGUUAUAUGAAUUAUUGGACUUUGGUUAUUUGUCCUUGAUUAUGCCUUUUAAUAGUACAGAGAAUCGAAUUGGUUUGUGGCAUCUAGAAGUAAGAAGUUUGAAGUAGGUUUAUGAGAGCAUAUUCUCAAAGGGAUGGUGACAAUAAGGAAGUCAUGAUCUUGUGGAAAUGCAUUGCUUUGCUUCAAAGCAUGAAAAAAGAAUAUAAUGACAAGUAAAUCUACAUAGGCAAGGCCUCUCUAAGUAGUCACUUAUAGAGGCAUUAACGUGUCAUGUUAAAUACUGGUUAUGAAUGUGUGAUAAUUUGACAUAAUGCUAUACGUAUAACACCGUUCUAGGUUUUGAUGUGAUUCUUCAGUCCUAAUACAUGGGUCACCUUUAAAAAUGGAAAGUAUAGACUUACACAUUAAAGUUGAGAAGCAUAAGGGUAGACUUGUUUUAAUGAUUGAUAGACUUGUGAAGGGUAUGGCCAAGGCCUCUAAGUGUCAUGUUUAGUGUUGUUAAAGGCAAGGAAAGGCACUAGGCAAGGUGCCAGGAGAGGUGAGGUGACCCUCUAGCGCCUCGUCUGGCACCGCCUUGCCUUGCUUGCAAGAGGAGACUGCCUGGGAGGAAGAGGCGAUUGGCGUGAGGCGAGGGAGGCAAUGCCUCUUGCAAUUCGUCUACUUUUUUUAAUUUUUAAUUGUUCUUUUAUGGAACAAAAAUUUAAAAAACCCUAAGGAGGCUCUUCUUUUGUCACGCCAAAACGAGGAUACGUUGCUUCCUCUCUUUCAUAGCAGCUCUCUCUUCUCUCUCAAUCCUCAGGUAUGUCUCAUCUUCCCCUCUCUCUCUCCUCUACUCCUUUCCUCUAUUUCUU
RNAcentral lists this unclassified non-coding RNA (1600 nucleotides) under Hevea brasiliensis (rubber tree). Lineage: Eukaryota; Viridiplantae; Streptophyta; Magnoliopsida; Malpighiales; Euphorbiaceae. The record is from RNAcentral.